AGCAGCCGCGGUAAUUCCAGCUCCAAUAGCGUAUAUUAAAGUUGUUGCAGUUAAAAAGCUCGUAGUUGAAUUUCGGGAUCAAUAUAUCGGUCGUGCCUUCGGUACGUACUGGUAUCAUUGGUUUCUCCUUCUGACGAACCAUGAUGUCAUUAAUUUGGUGUUAUGGGGAGUUAGGACUGUUACUUUGAAAAAAUUAGAGUGUUUAAAGCAGGCUUUAGCUUGAGUACAUUAGCAUGGAAUAAUGAAAUAGGACGUUCGAACCUAUUUUGUUGGUUUCUAGGAUCAACGUAAUGAUUAAUAGGGAUAGUUGGGGGCAUUAGUAUUCAAUUGUCAGAGGUGAAAUUCUUGGAUUUAUUGAAGACUAACUACUGCGAAAGCAUUUGCCAAGGAUGUUUUCAUUAAUCAAGAACGAAAGUUAGGGGAUCGAAGACGAUCAGAUACCGUCGUAGUCUUAACCAUAAACUAUGCCGACUAGGGAUCGGAUGAUGUUAAUUUUUUAACGACUCAUUCGGCGCCUUAC
Molecule: ribosomal RNA, 520 nt
Filed under: uncultured Glomus
Lineage: Eukaryota; Fungi; Glomeromycota; Glomeromycetes; Glomerales; Glomeraceae
Description: SSU rRNA
Rfam family: Eukaryotic small subunit ribosomal RNA
Source: RNAcentral